This 404-nucleotide ribosomal RNA is filed under the name uncultured bacterium. RNAcentral describes it as "bacterial SSU rRNA". It matches the Rfam family "Bacterial small subunit ribosomal RNA", at positions 355 to 776 of the family's 1533-position model. The record is from RNAcentral.
UGGGGAAUAUUGGUCAAUGGGGGAAACCCUGAACCAGCCAUGCCGCGUGAGUGAAGAAGGCCUUAGGGUUGUAAAGCUCUUUCAGCGGGGACGAUAAUGACGGUACCCGCAGAAGAAGCCCCGGCUAACUUCGUGCCAGCAGCCGCGGUAAUACGAAGGGGGCUAGCGUUGUUCGGAAUUACUGGGCGUAAAGCGCGCGUAGGCGGACGCUUAAGUCAGGGGUGAAAUCCCGGGGCUCAACCCCGGAACGGCCUUUGAUACUGAGGGUCUGGAGUCCGGAAGAGGUUGGUGGAAUUCCGAGUGUAGAGGUGAAAUUCGUAGAUAUUCGGAGGAACACCAGAGGCGAAGGCGGCCAACUGGUCCGGUACUGACGCUGAGGCGCGAAAGCGUGGGGAGCAAACAGG